Molecule: non-coding RNA, 415 nt
Organism: Paramuricea clavata
Lineage: Eukaryota; Metazoa; Cnidaria; Anthozoa; Malacalcyonacea; Plexauridae
Source: the annotation of a GenBank genome assembly
CUGUGUUGGUGUUCUGUACUCAGGUGAAUAAUAUGUUUGCGAUGUUACUCUGAGUGCAUAUCCACACCGGGCGAGCUUGAAAAAUAUGCCCGGCCACGGUGGGAUUCGAACCUACGACCUUUGGAAUACUAGCCCAAUGCUCUUCCAACUGAGCUACGUGGUCAGGACGGUUCGAGUAAGUGAUAUUUCGGAACAGUAUCUAGUUCCUUCAAUACCAAUGUGUUCUUGUAAUAUGAAUUUAUUUUUUUUUCUGUGCUGGUGUUGUGUACUCAGGUGAAUAAUAUGUUUGUGAUGUUACUCUGAGUGCAUAUCCACACCGGGCGAGCUUGAAAAAUAUGCCCGGCCACGGUGGGAUUCGAACCUACGACCUUUGGAAUACUAGCCCAAUGCUCUUCCAACUGAGCUACGCGGUCAG